GACGAACGCUGGCGGCGUGCUUAACACAUGCAAGUCGAACGGAAAGGCCCUGCUUUUGUGGGGUGCUCGAGUGGCGAACGGGUGAGUAACACGUGAGUAACCUGCCCUUGACUUUGGGAUAACUUCAGGAAACUGGGGCUAAUACCGGAUAGGAGCUCCUGCUGCAUGGUGGGGGUUGGAAAGUUUCGGCGGUUGGGGAUGGACUCGCGGCUUAUCAGCUUGUUGGUGGGGUAGUGGCUUACCAAGGCUUUGACGGGUAGCCGGCCUGAGAGGGUGACCGGCCACAUUGGGACUGAGAUACGGCCCAGACUGCUACGGGAGGCAGCAGUGGGGAAUAGUGCACGAUGGGCGGAGGCCGGAUGCAGCAACGCCGCGUGCGGGAUGACGGCCUGCGGGUUGUAAACCGCUUGCGCCUGUGACGAAGCGUGAGUGACGGUAAUGGGUAAAGAAGCACCGGCUAACUACGUG
RNAcentral lists this ribosomal RNA (468 nucleotides) under uncultured bacterium. Its description in RNAcentral is "partial 16S ribosomal RNA". It matches the Rfam family "Bacterial small subunit ribosomal RNA", at positions 28 to 507 of the family's 1533-position model. The record is from RNAcentral.